RNAcentral lists this ribosomal RNA (1223 nucleotides) under metagenome. RNAcentral's name for it is "SSU rRNA". It matches the Rfam family "Eukaryotic small subunit ribosomal RNA", at positions 203 to 1378 of the family's 1831-position model. The record is from RNAcentral.
AUUUAAUUUAAGUUUCCCCAAAUUAAAUAGUUAAACUUGGGCGAGUCAUAACAAUUGAGCUAAUCGCACGGCCUUGCGCUGGCGAUGCUCCAUUCGAAUUUCUGACCUAUCAACUUUCGAUGGUAGGAUCGGGGCCUACCAUGGUUAUAACGGGUAACGGGGAAUUAGGGUUUGAUUCCGGAGAGGGAGCUUGAGAAACGGCUACCACUUCCAUGGAAGGCAGCAGGCGCGCAAAUUACCCAAUCCCGACACGGGGAGGUAGUGACAACAAAUAACAAUACAGGUCCCAAUAGGGUCUUGUAAUUGGAAUGAGUACAAUUUAAACCCCUUAAUGAGUAUCAAUUGGAGGGCAAGUCUGGUGCCAGCAUCCGCGGUAAUUCCAGCUCCAUUAGUGUAUAUUAAAGUUGUUGCGGUUAAAAAGCUCGUAGUUGGAUUUUGAAACUUUGAAAAACUUGAUAAUGUGCUUUGUCAUAUUAUUAGUUUUUUAAGUUUUCUUUCUUCUGAAUGCUCAUUACUGCUCUUAACUGAGUGGUGAUUAAGAUAAUAAAAAGGAGAAUUUAUUAUUCUUUUUAUUAUUGGAGUUUCAGAUCAGUUACUUUGAAAAAAUUAGAGUGUUCAAAGCAGGCGUUGAUAAAGCCUUGAAUACAUUAGCAUGGGAUAAUGAAAUUAAGACUCUGUUCUUAUUUCGUUGGUUUCUGAGAAUGGAGUAAUGAUUAAUAGGGAUAGUUGGGGUGAUUUAUAUUUAAUUGUCAGAGGUGAAAUUCUUGGAUUUCUGAAAGAUAAACUUCUGCGAAAGCAUUUCACAAGGAUGUUUUCAUUAAUCAAGAACGAAAGUUGGGGGAUCGAAGACGAUUAGAUACCGUCGUAGUCUCAACCAUAAACUAUGCCGACCAGAGAUCGAAUAAGUUGAUUUGAAAUCUCCUCCGGCAUCGUAUGAGAAAUCAUAAGUCUUUGGGCUUCGGGGGGAGUAUGGUCGCAAGGCUGAAACUUAAAGGAAUUGACGGAAGGGCACAACCAGGAGUGGAGCCUGCGGCUUAAUUUGACCCAACACGGGGAAACUUACCAGGUCCGGACAGCAGAAGGAUUGACAGAUUGAGAGCUCUUUCUUGAUUUGUUGGGUGGUGGUGCAUGGCCGUUCUUAGUUGGUGGAGUGAUUUGUCUGCUUAAUUGCGUUAACGAACGAGACCUUAACCUACUAAAUAGUUACACAAGCCGUCUAAUAU